GAGGGAAAGUUGAAAAGGACUCUGAAGAGAGGGUUCAAGAGAGCGUGAAACUGCCACGGGGAUAAAGCGGAUACAUUUGCGUAGUCGAAAAGGUAGAAACCGCUGUGCUUCGCGCCGCCUCCUAGAUUGUAUAGUGGUCGGUAAGGUCCUCUAGUAGGAUUCAUAGCCUUCUUGCUUUACGUAUCUGGGAUGAGCGAGUGCCGGUACUAGUCUAGUUCAUACCUUAGUAGGCCGUCGCGACGGUUGGAGAGUUGUCUAAGGCUCGAAAGUUAUUGGGAACCUUUUGGGAUUGCUUUUUACCCUUUAGGGUGAUUAUGCUUUUUCGAAGGGGGACGCUUUCUUGAAUUUACUGGCGGACUUUCCGACCGGAGAAAUAAACUUUUUUUCUCGAAAGAGAUUGAGAGUAAGUGCGGCGCUAAAGCGAUCAAUGUAUCCGUCCCGUCUUGAAACACGGACCAAGGAGUCUAACAUGCGAGCGAGUCAAAGGGUCUACUAAACCCCUAGGCGAAAUGAAAGUGAAUGGAUCGAUCCGUGCUCCCUUAGGGGACCGGCGCAGAUCCGGGACCCGUCUUACUGCUCUUCUCUCUCGAGAGAGGUGUUCAAGUGGCGGGUACCUUGAGCUCGUACGUUGGGACCCCA
This 639-nucleotide ribosomal RNA is filed under the name Ischnomesus bispinosus. RNAcentral describes it as "partial large subunit ribosomal RNA". It matches the Rfam family "Eukaryotic large subunit ribosomal RNA", at positions 355 to 819 of the family's 3401-position model. Lineage: Eukaryota; Metazoa; Arthropoda; Malacostraca; Isopoda; Ischnomesidae. The record is from RNAcentral.